This 524-nucleotide ribosomal RNA is filed under the name uncultured bacterium. RNAcentral's name for it is "bacterial SSU rRNA". It matches the Rfam family "Bacterial small subunit ribosomal RNA", at positions 224 to 745 of the family's 1533-position model. The record is from RNAcentral.
GAUGAGCAUGCGUCCCAUUAGCUAGUUGGUAAGGUAACGGCUUACCAAGGCUACGAUGGGUAGGGGUCCUGAGAGGGAGAUCCCCCACACUGGUACUGAGACACGGACCAGACUCCUACGGGAGGCAGCAGUGAGGAAUAUUGGACAAUGGGCGCAAGCCUGAUCCAGCCAUGCCGCGUGCAGGAUGACGGUCCUAUGGAUUGUAAACUGCUUUUAUACGAGAAGAAACACUCCUUCGUGAAGGAGCUUGACGGUAUCGUAAGAAUAAGGAUCGGCUAACUCCGUGCCAGCAGCCGCGGUAAUACGGAGGAUCCAAGCGUUAUCCGGAAUCAUUGGGUUUAAAGGGUCCGUAGGCGGUUUAAUAAGUCAGUGGUGAAAGCCCAUCGCUCAACGGUGGAACGGCCAUUGAUACUGUUAGACUUGAAUUAUUAGGAAGUAACUAGAAUAUGUAGUGUAGCGGUGAAAUGCUUAGAGAUUACAUGGAAUACCAAUUGCGAAGGCAGGUUACUACUAAUUGAUUGACG